ACCCAUUGUAAGCAGUAAUCUGCAUCUGGCAUUGGUAAGUACCCUUUCCAUUCUCUACCUGUCUGUGGAUGGCUAAUUCCUAUUGAAAAAGCAGGUUUUAACAACAACAGCUGCAAAUUAUUUUUCCUUAUGAUAUCUCCAAAAUGAGAUUGUAGAGGAUUAUAAUUGCCUGUCCGGCACUAAGGAUGAACGUGACUCUCAAAGAUUGCAAAACGCAUUUGAGAUUUUGGCAAUGAAUAUAAAGACCCAAAGUAAGUUCAACUUAAUUAACACAUAAUUAUGAUAACUUCUGUUUUGGUGGUAUAAUAGAAUUUAUUACAUUUCUGAGUUGUUUACAAUGUAUUUAUUGUAAAGUAUAGUAUGGAUCUCGUAUGAUUUGUUAUCCCUUGACAAUAUUCUUGGCAUUUAUAUAAGCUUCAGAACUUUGAUUGCCAGAAUAGUCCAUUCUGGUGGGCUUUAUUAUUUAAUAAAAGGUGGCUGCCGUGAGCUCAAUGAAGAAUGCAGAAAAGGGUAACAUCAUAUUUCAUUUAAAAUUUCAAUCAGUGCCAUCAACUGGCUUAUAUUACUUAAUCAGGAAUCUAUAUAAAGUAAAGUCCAAUGUUUAGCUUGGUUUAUAUUUAAUAUUCUGCAUUUAUGAGGAU
Long non-coding RNA from Lingula anatina, 641 nucleotides. The record is from RefSeq and is a predicted model, not a curated record. Lineage: Eukaryota; Metazoa; Brachiopoda; Lingulata; Lingulida; Lingulidae.